UCGGGAAUUUUGGGCAAUGGGCGAAAGCCUGACCCAGCAACGCCGCGUGAAGGAUGAAGUAUUUCGGUAUGUAAACUUCGAAAGAAUAGGAAGAAUAAAUGACGGUACUAUUUAUAAGGUCCGGCUAACUACGUGCCAGCAGCCGCGGUAAUACGUAGGGACCAAGCGUUGUUCGGAUUCAUUGGGCGUAAAGAGCUCGUAGGCCGCUCUGUAAGUCGGAAGUGAAAGACCACGGCUCAACCGUGGAAACGCUUUCGAAACUGUGGAGCUUGAGGCCGGGAGAGGAGAUCGGAAUUCCUGGUGUAGCGGUGAAAUGCGUAGAUAUCAGGAGGAACACCCGUGGCGAAGGCGGAUCUCUGGACCGGUUCUGACGCUGAGGAGCGAAAGCUAGGGGAGCAAACAGGAUUAGAUACCCACGUAGUCCCUGAGCGGGCUGGCAAGGCGCAU
RNAcentral lists this ribosomal RNA (447 nucleotides) under uncultured bacterium. RNAcentral describes it as "bacterial SSU rRNA". It matches the Rfam family "Bacterial small subunit ribosomal RNA", at positions 355 to 825 of the family's 1533-position model. The record is from RNAcentral.